RNAcentral lists this ribosomal RNA (442 nucleotides) under uncultured bacterium. RNAcentral's name for it is "partial 16S ribosomal RNA". It matches the Rfam family "Bacterial small subunit ribosomal RNA", at positions 338 to 795 of the family's 1533-position model. The record is from RNAcentral.
CCUACGGGGGGCAGCGGUGGGGAAUAUUGGGCAAUGGGCGCAAGCCUGACCCAGCAACGCCGCGUGAAGGAAGAAGGCUUUCGGGUUGUAAACUUCUUUUGUCAGGGAAGAGUAGAAGACGGUACCUGACGAAUAAGCCACGGCUAACUACGUGCCAGCAGCCGCGGUAAUACGUAGGUGGCAAGCGUUUUCCGGAUUUACUGGGUGUAAAGGGCGUGUAGCCGGGUUGACAAGUCAGAUGUGAAAUCCUGCGGCUUAACCGCAGAACUGCAUUUGAAACUGUUGAUCUUGAGUACUGGAGAGGCAGACGGAAUUCCUAGUGUAGCGGUGAAAUGCGUAGAUAUUAGGAGGAACACCAGUGGCGAAGGCGGUCUGCUGGACAGCAACUGACGGUGAGGCGCGAAAGCGUGGGGAGCAAACAGGAUUAGAUACCCCAGUAGUC